This 404-nucleotide ribosomal RNA is filed under the name uncultured soil bacterium. RNAcentral describes it as "bacterial SSU rRNA". It matches the Rfam family "Bacterial small subunit ribosomal RNA", at positions 27 to 433 of the family's 1533-position model. The record is from RNAcentral.
GGACGAACGCUGGCGGCGUGCUUAACACAUGCAAGUCGAGCGGUAAGGCCUUUCGGGGUACACGAGCGGCGAACGGGUGAGUAACACGUGGGUGAUCUGCCCUGCACUUCGGGAUAAGCCUGGGAAACUGGGUCUAAUACCGGAUAUGACCUCCUAUCGCAUGGUGGGUGGUGGAAAGAUUUAUCGGUGCAGGAUGGGCCCGUGGCCUAUCAGCUUGUUGGUGGGGUAAUGGCCUACCAAGGCGACGACGGGUAGCCGACCUGAGAGGGUGACCGGCCACACUGGGACUGAGACACGGCCCAGACUCCUACGGGAGGCAGCAGUGGGGAAUAUUGCACAAAUGGGCGAAAAGCCUGAUGCAGCGACGCCGCGUGAGGGGAUGACGGCCUCGGUUGUAACCGUAC